AGAUGGGGUUCUUCGCAGAGGCUGGGCCUGUUCAGAUCUUCGUGUCAAAUCAUCUGAUUCCUGAUGAUAUGGAGUUCCAAUCUGGUGAUGUGCCAAACUACACAACUUCUGAUGGAUCGGAUCCUGCCACUAGACGUUCUUGUGCACUUUCCUCAUGACACGGUUGGUGGAGGGCUUACUGGAGAAACAAGCUGUUCAUGGCACCGUUGCUGAUGUCCCCGCCUGUUAGCCCAGGAGUGUAGCAUCUACAGGUAUCAUGUAAAUGCGUGUCCCAUGCUGUUAAUUGGAUUAUUGCAAUUAUUUGAGUGGCUCAAACUUCCUGGAUAGUGAUAUUGAAGGGAUUUCUACUGUAUGAAGUUUAGGCGAUGAAGAUGAUAAGAAGAUUCUUGACUAUACAAAGC
Long non-coding RNA from Lolium rigidum, 401 nucleotides. RefSeq lists it as uncharacterized. Lineage: Eukaryota; Viridiplantae; Streptophyta; Magnoliopsida; Poales; Poaceae. The transcript is spliced from 5 exons. The record is from RefSeq and is a predicted model, not a curated record.